GUGGUGUCUUAGUCAUACGAGACGACCUCUUAUUUGUCUUUAAUGCGUGAACUGAAACAGGAACCCACCUUUUACCAAACGGGCCUCGUUUUUCUUCCUUCUUGCCGAUGUCAGCGCUCAGCUUGGAAAUAAUUCUGGGAGGACACACAAAGGAUGAGAAAUUUGACUUUUCAAAGGCCGGUAUACAAAUCUCCGGAGGCGCGUGAAGCGCUGCCACCUCAAGUGAAACUUUUGCGAUUGUUUUCAAUUUAUUCAAAAGGCUUACGGUGUGUGAAGUUUGGGGAAUUUCUGCAGAUCGUUCUCACUCAAGUUCUGCAAACACAAAAUGAUGCGUCUCUUUUUUUCUUCCAAAACGAAAAAGUAAUAUCCAGAUGCAGGGGUCAAGACAAGGGGGCGAGCCGCAGCAUGUCGGACCAACUGGAGACAUUUGACGAUCGUCGUAAGCUGAGUCAAAAACGACAAAGGCAACGAGCGCGAGUGAUGCUCCCGCCACGAACAGGCCUCCCGCCCAAACUCAUCUGAGACGGGCUUCAGCUGGAUUUCCCUUUGUCGCAAUUGACAAAAGUGAGCCUGACCUUCCUCAGGUAGUCAGCCAGCUGCUGAGGGCUCCAGUCCUCGACCUCCGAGCGGGACGGCGCCCGGCUGCAGUUCAUCUCACGUGCCCCCCUUUGCCACUCGAGACUUUGCGAUAAGUUUUCUUUGCUGAGGCCUCACAAUCGACUUCCAGCGCUUCCUCUUUUCUGCCGUGCCCUCUGCGACAAGCUAAAGUUCAGUCUCACCCAGCCCAAUGAUU
Long non-coding RNA from Syngnathus typhle (broad-nosed pipefish), 793 nucleotides. RefSeq lists it as uncharacterized. The transcript is spliced from 2 exons. The record is from RefSeq and is a predicted model, not a curated record. NCBI's taxonomy places the organism in Eukaryota, Metazoa, Chordata, Actinopteri, Syngnathiformes, Syngnathidae.